This is a long non-coding RNA of Oreochromis aureus, 471 nucleotides long. RefSeq lists it as uncharacterized. The record is from RefSeq and is a predicted model, not a curated record. Lineage: Eukaryota; Metazoa; Chordata; Actinopteri; Cichliformes; Cichlidae. The transcript has 4 exons.
GGGAUUGUGGACCCUCUGUCCCACAAGCCCCUCCCUGGUUUUUCCCUUCCCGAAGUUUUUCUCUCCUGAACUUUGACGCUGAUCGUCUCCGUGUGAAGCUCCGUGUUACGGAACCCACCUGGACCUCCACCCAGCUCUGUGUCCUGUAAGAGUGACUGGUCUAAAGAUGCCAUCAUUGAUUUUAAAGUCCAGCCUGUGUCUGCUGCAGAGAGGAUCAAUGGGAGACCUGCUGGUCCUGAACCUGAAUCCAGCUGUGUGUCCCUAAGGAGUGACUAGUCCAAUGGUCACAUCGUUAAUUUUAAAUCCCGGCCUCUGUCUGCAGCAGAGAGACUGACUGAAGAUGAUGAUGGAGGAAGAGGAGGACAGAGCAGAGUCUGCAGGAUCCAGCUGUCCGUCUGUGAGGAGUGACCGGUCCAAAGGAAACACUCCAGACUUCAGUGCUGAACCUGGACCAACGAGGUCAGAGAGCUG